GGGGAAUUUUCCGCAAUGGGCGCAAGUCUGACGGAGCAACGCCGCGUGCAGGAGGACGCUUUUCGGAGUGUAAACUGCUUUUCUGUGGGACGAGCAAGGACGGUACCACAGGAAGAAGCCCCGGCUAACUACGUGCCAGCAGCCGCGGUAAUACGUAGGGGGCGAGCGUUGUCCGGAGUUACUGGGCGUAAAGGGCAUGCAGGCGGUCGGACGCGUUUCCAGUGACAGUGGGUGGCUUACCUACCCGAGGAUUGGAAAGACGGUUUGACUUGAGGACUCGAGAGGGACACGGAAUUCCGGGUGGAGUGGUGAAAUGCGUAGAGAUCCGGAGGAACAUCAAAGGCGAAGGCAGUGUCCUGGCGAGUAACUGACGCUGAGGUGCGAAAGCUAGGGGAGCGAAAGGGAUUAGAUACCCCUGUAGUC
This 423-nucleotide ribosomal RNA is filed under the name uncultured bacterium. RNAcentral's name for it is "bacterial SSU rRNA". It matches the Rfam family "Bacterial small subunit ribosomal RNA", at positions 356 to 795 of the family's 1533-position model. The record is from RNAcentral.